GGGGCGUAACUCAUUAGCAUGCCUGCCCAGUGCGAUUAACUUCGUAAACGGCCGCCCUAGCGUGAGGGUGCUAAGGUAGCGAAAUUCCUUGCCUUUUAAUUGUAGGCCUGCAUGAAUGGCUCGACGAGGGUUUAACUGUCUCUAGUCUUAUAUUUUAAAUUGGAUUAAAGGUGAAGAUACCUUUAUAAAAAAGUCAGACAAGAAGACCCCGUGCAACUUUUAAAAUCAGCUUAUUAAGAAAUCUUAGAUUUUUAGGUGGGGCGCCUAUUAAGUAAGUGUAACCUUUUUAACUACAAAAAACUCUCAGGUAUAGACCCGGUAAUUACCGAUCAUAGGAGAAGUUACGCCGGGGAUAACAGGCUAAUUCACUAGUAGAGAACGUAUUGGCUAGUGAGAUUGGCACCUCGAUGUUGAAUCAGGGAUGAUACCUUUAAGGCGUAGAAGCUUUAAAAGUAGGUCUGUUCGACCUUUAAUACCCUACGUGAUCUGAUUUCAGACCGGA
This 502-nucleotide ribosomal RNA is filed under the name Dendostrea crenulifera. Its description in RNAcentral is "partial 16S ribosomal RNA". It matches the Rfam family "Bacterial large subunit ribosomal RNA", at positions 1838 to 2620 of the family's 2925-position model. Lineage: Eukaryota; Metazoa; Mollusca; Bivalvia; Ostreida; Ostreidae. The record is from RNAcentral.